UUGAAAGGGAAACGAUUGAAGUCAGUCGUACCAGCGGGAAAUCAACCUUUCGAGUGGGGGUUUUGGAGUUUUUUGAAGAGUGUCAAAACCUUUGAGAUUUCAAAAUAUUCGCUCUUUUGGUGUACUUUCUCGUGGGUAGGUUAACAUCGAUUUUGAUCAUCAUAAAAAGAUUGGAGGAAUGUAGCUUCGAUCUUGUAUUGAGGUGUUAUAGCCUUUGGUAAAUGUGAUGAUUAGGAUCGAGGAUUGCAACGAAUACCCUUUUGGGCUAUCCGCCUGAUCUCUGAUACGUGGCCUUGGUAUCGAAAGCGUGCUUAUGGUAUUGAGGUAUUACGGUCAAAAGGUUAGAACGGAUACAUCGUUAAGGAUGUUGACGUA
This 375-nucleotide ribosomal RNA is filed under the name uncultured Glomeromycotina. RNAcentral describes it as "LSU rRNA". The record is from RNAcentral. Lineage: Eukaryota; Fungi; Glomeromycota.